GUCAUGGACAUGGUUAUGGUGGCAGCCACCAAAAUAGCUACUGUCAGAGCCAGAAGUUCAACUGGGCUCUCAAGAAUUUGGAUGAUUAAACUUGACGUAUAAAUAAAUGAUGCGGUGAAAGUAAAUUGUGUGUUCUUGGUAGUUACUUUGGCUAUAUGGAGCACAAAGGUUUGCUACCUAAAUAAGUAAUGUACUGAACAAUCUGCUGCUACGCUUAAUUUUAAUUAUAUAUGUAUCUGCUUUAUCAUGGAAUAAAAUGAUAAUAAUAUAUUAGAAAUACGUCUAUAUAUAUGAUUAAACUGAUUCGCGUGCAAUUAAUAAAAAAAUAAGAACACUAUCACGUGUUCAUAUGUUUCAUUGAAAUAAAUCAUAGUACGAGUGUUUUGAAUAAAACUUAAAGAUAAAUUUAAUUAGUUAUCGAUGUAUUAAGCACAUAAUGUAUAUGCAUGCCAUGGGUCGGUCAUGAGUGUUAGGGUUUAAAUCAAACAUAUACUACUAGACUUGGAUAUAAUCUGAAUAAGAUUACUUAAUAUGAUCUGACUGUAAUAUGAGGAUCGUAAGUUUGGAGAGGUUAAUAAUAAUUAAAUAAGUUAAAUUUUAAAUCUGUAUGGGAAGUUACUAGUAGGAUUAAAACUACUGACUACUUUGUAAGUAGGAUAAUUACUGACUGUUAGUAGGAUAAUUAUUAUAUCCACAAAUCACGUUGAUGGAAUGUGAAAACAUAACUGUCUAUUUCCUGUAUUAUAAAAGGGGUCCUCUUUCUGCCAAAAGAAGAAUAAAUUUCAUCAAAUAUUAUUCUGAAACGUAAGGUAAAGAGAGAGAAACAAUACUUUUGUUUUGUGCUUCUGCUAAACUCAAUCAGCAAGAAAACUAUGGAGAAUUCAGGUAAGUAAUUCUCUACUAAAUUACUGUAAUUUUGUUUAUGUGAAAAUUAUGUAGUUCCACGUUCUGAAUGAUUGAUAGGAUUAUAUAUUUGAUUGUUUAGGUUAUACAAUCUCUUAAAUCUUUACAUGUACAAGUUGGAAUUGGCGAAUAAAGCUUAAUGCUUAUAUAAAUGCAUAAGAAUAAAAGAGGAGGAACCUGAAUUCUGAAAUGUGCUCCAUUUAAGGCAAAUAUGAGAAUGGGAUGCCUUUCUUAUCUAAUUAGAAUCUCCCCAAAAUCCUAUAAAUAUACCUCACUCAAGAUCACAUUAUCACCAAGAAAAAACUUCGCAUCCAUCAACAAUAUUCAAAAUGCUUCUCCAAAAUCAUCUUGGGCAUCAAACAUACUCGUACGAGCAAAACUACUAUUCCGACCAGGGCGGCUCUAUCUUGUAAAAAAAAAUAGGCGACUGACUUAGGCCUCCAAAUUUGAGGGCCUCAUUUUUUACAAUAAUAUAUAUAGAUUUUUUUAAAAAAAUUAAAUUUUAUUUAUAAUAAAAUAAUUUUUUAUAUAAAAAGAAAGAAUUAUUAGAAGAAGUUCAUAUAUCUAAAGUACUAUGUCUCAAGAAAGAUUAAAUACUUUGAUUAUAUUAUUACACAAAAAAGAAUAAUUAGAAAAAAUCAAUUAUAUAAUUUUGAAAAUAGAGUUUAUUUAAAGAAAGUUAUUUAUUCUUAAAAUUUUAACACUCUGUUUGAUUUUCGCCUUAGGCCAGCAAUAUGCUUGAGCUGCCCUUGAUUCCGACAGCCAUGGUCAAAUGAUGAGGCCUUCGGCUUAUUCUUCCACCAUACCAUUUUCUCACUCUACUCAAAAUAAUCAUAUGAUGACGGGCCAACACCACGGUGGACAUUAUGGAAACCAUGGCCAUAGCCAUAGCCAUUAUGGAAGUCAUGGUAGUUAUCAAGGGCAUAUGCCACAUGAUUCAACCAACUUCUCAAGCAGCACCACCAAUAUGGUCCAUAGUGAUGGCUAUGGUAGUGGGAUGCAACAAUCUUCCCAUGCCCAUAUGUCGUCUAUGGCCACGGGACAUCAUGGUCAUGGUCAUGGACAUGGUUAUGGUGGCAGCCACCAAAAUAGCUACUGUCAGAGCCAGAAGUUCAACUGGGCUCUCAAGAAUUUGGAUGAUUAACGGUGAAAGUAAAUUGUGUGUUCUUGGUAGUUACUUUGGCUAUAUGGAGCACAAAGGUUUGCUACCUAAAUAAGUAAUGUACUGAACAAUCUGCUGCUACGCUUAAUUUUAAUUAUAUAUGUAUCUGCUUUAUCAUGGAAUAAAAUGAUAAUAAUAUAUUAGAAAUACGUCUAUAUAUAAGAAUAAAAUGAUUCGCGUGCAAUUAAUAAAAAAAUAAGAACACUAUCACGUGUUCAUAUGUUUCAUUGAAAUAAAUCAUAGUACAAGUGUUUUGAAUAAAACUUAAAGAUAAAUUUAAUUGGUUAUCGAUGUAUUAAGCACAUAAUGUAUCUGCAUGCCAUGGGUCGGUCAUGAGUAUUAGGGUUUAAAUCAAACAUAUACUACUAGACUUGGAUAUAAUCUGAAUAAGAUUACUUAAGUUGAUCUGACUGUAAUAUGAGGAUCAUAAGUUUGGAGAGGUACCAUAUAUUUAACCACCAUAAGAUAAAUAAACUAUAUGACCA
This 2550-nucleotide long non-coding RNA is filed under the name Capsicum annuum. Its description in RNAcentral is "long non-coding RNA (CANN_LNC017503)". The record is from RNAcentral. Lineage: Eukaryota; Viridiplantae; Streptophyta; Magnoliopsida; Solanales; Solanaceae.